This 253-nucleotide ribosomal RNA is filed under the name uncultured bacterium. Its description in RNAcentral is "partial 16S ribosomal RNA". It matches the Rfam family "Bacterial small subunit ribosomal RNA", at positions 524 to 776 of the family's 1533-position model. The record is from RNAcentral.
UACGGGGGGAGCAAGCGUUGUUCGGAUUUACUGGGCGUAAAGGGCGCGUAGGCGGCAAUUCAAGUCAGCUGUGAAAUCUCCGGGCUUAACUCGGAACGGUCAGCUGAUACUGCUUUGCUAGAGUGCGGAAGGGGCAAUCGGAAUUCUCGGUGUAGCGGUGAAAUGCGUAGAUAUCGAGAGGAACACCUGAGGUGAAGACGGGUUGCUGGGCCGACACUGACGCUGAGGCGCGAAAGCCAGGGUAGCAAACGGG